Xyrichtys novacula (pearly razorfish) is the source of this 12183-nucleotide non-coding RNA. The record is from the annotation of a GenBank genome assembly. NCBI's taxonomy places the organism in Eukaryota, Metazoa, Chordata, Actinopteri, Labriformes, Labridae.
CUGCCAAACAGAGAAUGGAUGAGACUCUGAUGAGACAGGUCAGCUGACUCUGUCUGCAACAACAUCACCUUUACUGCUUUACUCUUCUCCCUCACCUUCAUCAGGAUCAACAAGGUCAGACAGCAGACAGAUCCACUCUUCCUCUCACUUUGUCAUUGAUUCACUGAUGGCUGAGUUCACUCACAUUUCAUUUAGAUCAGUCUCUAAUCUGAUUUUGCUGCAGGAACCUCCUUCUUUCUGGCUGUGUGUAGCAGGGCACACCUGAUGGCACUCUGCAAUCAACUCACCUCUCCGUAGCAACUGGCUCACCCCAGUGUUGUUUUUGGCAGGCAUUUUAGAUUUAGUUUUAGUCUUAGUCAUUUUGACGAAAUGCUUCUUCGUUUUAGUCCCAUUUUAGUCAUUUCUAUCCUUGAUAGUUUUCGUCUAGUUUUAGUCCGACCAAAACUCAAAAGGUUUUCGUCUAGUUUUAGUCGACGUAAAGGUGCCUUUUGAGGUUCGUGGUGUUCUUUCCCGACAGUUUGAAGCAUGAGGAAGCUGUGGCUCCACAACUGUCGUCUGUCUCGUCUCCCCGUCCCGUGUUUUAUUGUCACUUUUAUUUUAUUGUCACUUGGACUGUAUCUGAAGUAGGACCAAAAAUCAUCCCUCUUUUUUCGGCCACCGGGUACCGCUGCUGUGCCUGCCGCCACGGUGUGUGUGUGUGUGUGCGCGCGCCUCGUCCACCUGCCGCUCUGUGUAUGUGUAUGAGUGUGUGCGCGCAGCUGUGCUCGAGCGAGGCUUUUGGUGCGUGUGUGAUGGGGGCGUGACUGUUAGGACAAAAAAAAGCAUGUUUUGAAACUUUGUUCGUCCACCUAAUAACAAUUUAGUCUCGUCUCGUUCUCGUCUGACGAAAGUGAAUAUAAUUUUCGUCACAUUUUAGUCUUUACAGAGCUUUGGUGAUGUUCGUCUUAGUCUCAUUUUCGUCAAGGAAAAAAGGGGUCUGACGUCGUCAUUUAAGUUUUCGUCCUGCCUGACGAAAACAACACUGGCUCACCCUCCACUACUCUGCCAGAUAAUUCCGUCUCAUUCGGUAGUGCCAGGUUCAGGUUUCCAGACAAAAGCUUUUUCUAGAUUCUCUGAAUCCAUCCUGAUCACCUUUUUUUUGUGUUUUUUUCUUUUUUUUAAAUUGGUGCCUCGGUGCCUAAUCUUGCUCUGGUCUUCAGUGUGGUGGUCAGACAGCCUGUAGCAGCUGCAGCCUGCAAGGAUUUUUUCUUAGUUUGUGUAAUUUUUCUAUGUCUUGUGCAAGUCAAUAAAACUUUUGAACAGACCUGAGGUCUCCUAUCUUUUGGGUCCAGCUAUAAACUCAAGCCUUAACAGAUAUCUCUGUAUUACUCCACAUGAAAACUGAAAAUCAAAACAGAUUUUUCACAUUUAGUUUGUUUGGUGUUUUUUGUGACUCUGAAUUUAUGAAGCAUCAUCAUUACUUUAUUAACUGUGAUGAAAACAAUGAUGCUAGCUGAAGCAACAACAACAACAAUAAGGAAACUGGGAGCCCGAGUUUAGUCCAUGACUUUAUCCUCAUGAUUGUAACGUGUCAAAAAGACUAAUAAACACCUGUCACACUCCUGUCUGAUAUCAGUAUGAUAUGGUUGUAAUUUGUAGCAGCGACCAUCACCUCCUCAUCUAAACUCCCCAAAGGAAUUUAAGGCUUACAUCUGGUCACCGGAGACGAGAUGGUCUAAACUUUCAACACCAAAUCACGAUCUUUCUACAACCUCCUGUCUUUAUAGAAGAUAACCAAAGAAGCCUUCUCAAAAGGACAAACCUCCUAUCCUUUCCACUUCAAAGAGACCGAGACAUUGUUUAUGGCCAGCAGGAAAGAACUACAGGACCACGUCAUCAGAUAAACAUCUGCCAUCACACCUUGACUAGGAAGCGUCAGGUUUAUCAGCUCAGCCUUGAAUCCUACAUUUGGUUGUGCUCUCGUUGAGUACAAUCUAAAGAGAAUAGCUACAACUAGUCCAAUUUCAGGUUGGAUGGACACCACACUAUGAUCUUCUGCCAGUACUCAACAUGUGCAGGAAAACAGUCUUUGUCCCAUUUGCCGAUCAUGUUCACAAGCCAUAAUUUCACACUGACAGAAUAAAUCCUUCAGUCCUAAAGUUCUUUGAGAUCAACAGCUUUCCAAACUGUUUCAUGAACUUUCAAGAGCUGAAGUUAUGUUUUAAUUACAACCUUAUUCUAGUAGAAAUAGUGUAGAAAUGUUUAGUUUAUCUCUUAAUCAUUUGUUUAGCUUUGUUAAACAUUAGGUAGUUAUACUAUUAGAUAAUAAUCUGAGUGUUGGUCUGUAGAAUCCUUUUUUAAAUGUUAUUAAUUAUUAUUAAUUGUAAGUUCAUGUACAUGUGUUUACCCUUGUGUUAUUCACAGUUUAUAUGUGUUACUAUCUGUUUCAUUUCAGAGUAAUUGAACAUGUACUUUUUUAACAAUGUUCUUUGAAAAGUGAUACUCAAAGCAUAAUGAGAAUGUUCGUUAAUGUGAUUCUACAAUUCUUUAUAUUUGUUUAACAUCAAAUCAUUCAUUAUGAACCAAGCAUUCAAUAACAUUAAUCACAGUGAGUGAGUAUUCGAUCUGAUUCCUUUACCUGCCAAAAGUAUAAGUUCGAUCAUACAAUGAGGGAUCCUGAAGGUCUCCUCUGAAAAAGCUGCAGCAGGACACCAGCGAGGACACCCUCCUUUCUCUCCUCACACCCCAGAGACACUCCCAGUUUGAAGAGUAUUAAACCAGUAAAGUUGGGGUGCUCACUCUCUUAUUCACUUCUGUCCUCUUCUCUUGUCUCUUUGUUUCUGCUUAGUUCCCUCCUAGCUUGUUUUCUCUUAGUUCUUACUCUUACUACUUAGUCUUACUUUUUCCUCUUAGUCUUCUAAGUUUUACAUUAGUGUUCAUUCACGUUGUAUGAUUUUUCUUUAACGUCUUAGUUCAGUAUUGAAACUUCAACUAUUUUUGUGCAUACAGGGAUCCAAGAUUAAGCCUUUAAUUGGUUUUUCUUUAACUUCGCUCAUUUUUGAAAUAGUUUCAACUGUCCAUGGAGUUUCUAUUUCUUAGUUAUCUGCGUUACUUCAAAGUCACCUCUGAAUGCUACCCAGCAGGCCCAAAGUCAUACUCUGUGGUAGAGUUUUGAGUGAGACAAAAGGAGCAUCCAAAGGACACAAAAAGGUGCUGGUUUAUGCAUUCAGGCCUGUGUGUUGUGACUCCUGGCCUGUCCUUUGUCUGGCUUCGGUCCUCUGCUGAGCCGAACCUCCCAAACCGCCGGUAGCCCGGACCUUCAGUGAACCUCCUCCAUCCUCUCCAAGGACCAGUCUCACAUAAGUAUGCAAACCUUUUCUUUAUUUUCCCACCAUUCAGGUGGGUGGUGCCCCUUUCAACGAGUGCAUAAAUGUCAAAGUGUAAGAUUAGUAUCAAUUAUUAAUCUUAGGACAUUUAUUAUAAAUUCAAAUCACUACAAAUCACUGAAUAUUAAGUUAUGAAUAUGUUCAAAUUUCUCUGAAAUUAAAAGACUAAAACUCCAAAUCUAAUAAAAAAAAAAAUAAAAAAAAAUCAGUUUCAACAAUUUAAAGUUUGUGUGGAAACAUGAGGGAAACUCUCUGAUUUGGUUGAAUAAAGGGACGCACAGACGUCAUGAAGCCUGAUCUAAUGUCUGCCACCGCUGUCUUUUUCUCAGGAGGUUUGGUUGAAUUCACUCCAGCAUGUCCUCUAGACAUGAAAACAUCAUCAACAUGAGUCAACUCUGCAUGAGCGGUGGACACCUGAAUUUUCCAACCACAAACAAGUUUGUCUCCUGGACUGUUUGGAUGAAAUCUCUGCUAACAGCUGAUUAUUGUUGUUGUUGUUGUUGUUGUUGUUGUUGUAACUAAAGCAGCAUGUUGUGAGGAUGUUCUCACAGGGUCUGGUCUGUGCUGAGGAGUUAUACAGAGGGUUGAAAUGACGGAGCUCUGACAGCAAGAUUUCUGACUGAAGCUGCUGACUGAUGGGACUUUAACACACCUUUGUUGUUGACAAUGUUUCCUGUAUGAAAAAGAUGAGCUGUGUUCCUGAGCUGCAUGGAUAGUGAGUUCACUGCAUCCUUGAACAUUUGACUGAUUUAGAGACCGAGGAAGUAAACCCGUCAACAUCACUGCAGUGAUCAUCGGAACCAUUUAUAAAAAAUCAUCAACAUUCAAUCAACAAAAUAACUCACAGUUUUCCUCCAUCUGUAUCUGACUGAUGAUUCAAUAAAAAAACUAUGAAUUUAUGUGAGAAAGAAGAAAGUUCUGGAAAUAUUAAAGAAUUCUUUGAACAUUUGAAUUGGGUUAAAAAAACUGAAUAAACAUAAAAAUCUACAACAGAAACAAAGACUAAACUUACUCCAGAUGCUCCAGUUUACAGUUUGGACUCUGCAGAAGGUCACACAGCAGCUUCACUCCUGAAUCCUGCAGAUCGUUGUUACCCAGCUCCAGAAGUCUCAGAUGGGAGGGGUUGGACUUCAGAGCUGAGGCCAGAGAAGAAAAGCUGAUCUCUGACAACCUGCAGACACUCACUCUGAAAAAAGAAAAAAAUCAUUGAACCUCUGAAGAAACUGUUCCUGCUUUUAAUGAUUCAAUGUUCUUGAGUCUCUGAAGGACACAGAACUUUUUCAGAGUUGAUCUUGAGGAACUUUGUAAAAUCCUGUCUAAACUUUUGAAAAUCUUGAGGAAAAUUUCAGUCAAGAAAAUUUUAAAUAAACAGAAAACUUUAGUGAGAUCCUGAGAAACUCCUGUGUUCUUCAGGUUUCAAUCUGCAGCUCAUCAUUUCUCUGACACUUCAUUCAUUCAUUAGUGAUCACAUUAACUGUGGAUCAGUUCAAUAUCAGCCUUUAGUCUGUGCUGCUCCUGCCCUCUACAAGCAUGUGUAAUAUUUGUGGGACUGAUUUUCUCCUGCUUCCUUUCUACAUCCAUCGUUCUUCUCAAAGUCAACUCUGAAAUGUCAGAUUUUUCUUCCUGUGUCGAAGUUUUACAACGACAAAUUCAAACUGCUCGACCAAAGUUGAUGGAAAAACCACAGAGAAAAAUCUAAGGCAGCAGCUGUCACAUCUUAUUGUUAGAUCAGAAGGAAAUGGUGUCUCACUUCAGAUGCUCCAGUCUGCAGUUUGGACUCUCCAGUCCUGCAGAGAGAGGCUUCACUCCUGAAUCCUGCAGAUUGUUUUCACUCACGUCCAGAUAUCUCAGAUGGGAGGGGUUGGACUUCAGAGCUGAGGCCACAACUUCAUAGUGAGUCUCUGAGAGUCUACAGCCAGAAAGUCUGUAACAACAUAAAUAUCAACAAUAUUUCAUUAAAGGGUAAUUUGAUGUUUCUCUUCCCCAAAAACAAACAUGAUCUUUGGUUUGACAGACGGCCUGUUUUUAACCAGACAGAUACUAAUAUCAGGACCACAGCCAUGAGAGAAGACAGGAAGUCAAAGUUUAGAAGAAAAAAAAACUGUUCAGAUGUUCAAGACAAAUGACUCCAUGACUUAUUUUAGUCCUUCUGUUCUCCAACAGUGUUGUCUUCAUGUUAGUGCAGCUGGAUCAUUAUGACUGAGUGAAUUCUUGAGUUCUGGUUGGAGAAGGGGACUGAGAACAAGGUUUUUGAUCCUGGUAUGUGAUUGGUUAGUAUCCAAAGUACCUCUUGGAGGAUCAGUGCUCCUCUCAGUGUUUAAUGUUGACAUCCUGCUGUAAUGUAAGUCUUUCCAUAGACACUGACUGUUGACCAAUCAGAGGACGACUCACUGAAUCACAGCAGCAGCUCCUUCUUCUCUGAUUGGUUCAGAUAAAAUCGAUUUUUUAGCAGGUUAGAGCUGGUUUGACUCUGAACAUUUGAAGAGUUGAAGAUUUCUUUGUUUUCACAGUAAAAGUUUUUUCUCCAUGUAACAUUCGCUUCAGCAGCAGAAACACGUUUAUAAAACCUGAUGGAUCCAGAGAGACCUUUAAGAGACAGAAACAAAGACCCACUGAACCUCUGUCUCUGGGCUCUGGUCAUCUCUCUCUCUCUCUCUCUCUCUCUCUCUCACUCUGUCUGUCUUUCUCUCUUUCUAUGUCUCUCUCUCUGUCUCUAAGUAAAACCAGAACAGCUGCUGUCUAAGUUAGGCCUGAGUUUAUUUGACCUUUCUGGUACGUUCUCAUGAAUGUACUUAACAGAUUGAUUAUUGCUAAUAAAUGUGUUUGAUACAUAAAGUAGAAUUUGGAGCCACAGGAAAUUUAUCUUUGAACAUGUUUUCUUCACUUUUUUAAAUGUUUGCACUAAAUCAUGAAGUGAGGUAUCAAUAAUGAGUCCUGAUAAUAUGAACAUGGAGGAUCAAUAUGGGUACCUGCUUUAAUUCAACCUAAUGACAGCCAUGCUGGUUAUAGUCCUUUAGACCUGGUCCAGUCUCUCAGACUCAGACCUGGAUCAAACCCCAGUCUGCUGCAGUGUUUGUUUAAAGGCUGUUUCAGCAGAAGGCAGCAGUCUGACCAAUUUACAUCAACAUCUGAAACAGAGGCGUGCAGCCGAGUUACAGCCCACCAACACCUCAACAUGAGAGGAAUCAUCUUCACUCUGCAUCACCAUGACAACAAAGGGACACCAUGGAAAACUGAUGAUGAUGAUGAUGCAGUCACACUGCUUCCUCUUAGAGACAUGGUGUCCAUAUAUACAGUGGAAGAGCACGGCUGUUUCCACAUGCUGUGAGGUGUUAUGAGGCAGACUAGUGUCAGAGAGAGAGAGAGAGAGAGAGAGAGAGAGAGACAUUCACAUCCUAUCUCCACCAUUGUUUUCAGACUCAUGGAGCUGCUGUCCAAAUACCUCCUGUGUUCUCAUCAUUCAUAUGUUCUAGUCCAGCAGAUAAUCUCCAGUGAGUGGUGGAAAAUGAUGUUAGUUUUCAUGGUUGUAUUGAUGAUGAAUAUUGAAUGAUGAACAUGAUGGUACAGAGACAGUUCUGCCACUGUGUAGAAAAUGAUCCAGUUCUAUUUUCACCAUCAAUGCUGUCAACACCCUCAUUUACAACAGAUUCAUCAUUUCCAACCUGAAAACCAGCAGGAAGAAGCUGCAGACACCUUCUUCAAACUCAAGUUCACCACAACUGACUGAGAUGUUGAUCUGGACUGAUACCAUCAUCAGAAGACCUCUGUGUGUCCUCAGAUAUGGUCGCUGAUUUGUCCUCAAAGUUCCACUUUAUUCAUUACAGACACGAUUCCAAACAAAGAGGUCCUCCACAAUCAGGACAAGUUCUCAGGGGUCCACAGGUAGACCUCAUCCUGGACUAACAGGACUUUAGACACCAGGAUCAUGUUUUUGCUAAAGAACCCCCCUCCCUGAUAUUUGAGUGGAUUUCUAUUUGAAGAAGAACAUCAUCAGUAACGUGGACAAUAGAAGAACUACAGGGAUCAUUUACACUAUUCUGAGAAUAAAACCUGGACUCACACAGCCUUUCUGCAGUUCCUCACAGCUGGGAUCAGUCUCCAUCGUCCCUGGUCUGAUGUGUUAUAGUUCUGUAAGUCCAACUCAUCCAGAACCUCCUCUGACAUCUGCAGCAUGUAGGCCAGAGCAGAGCAGUGGAUCUCUGAGAGUUCCUUAAAUCUGUUCUCUGACUUCAGGAGCUCUUGGAUCUCCUGAUGAACUGACAGAUCGUUCAUCUCCAUCAGACAGUGGAAGAUGUUGAUGCUUCUGUCAGGAGAGAAAUCUUCACUGUUCAUCCACUUCAGGUUCUUGAUGACUCUUUGGAUCAUUCCUGGACUGUUGUCUGUGUGACCCAGCAGACCUCCUAAGAGUCUCUGGUUUGACUCCAGAGAGAGUCCAUGAAGGAAGCGAACGAACAGGUCCAGGUGACCGUUUUUACUGAGAAGGGAUUUCAUCAUGACAAUCAUCAGGAAGACAUCCUGAGAUGAGAAACAGUAAUCCAGGUUUUGAAAAGAUCUGGAAAACAUCUCUGAAGAAAACAUUUUGUCUUUGUUACCUCUUAGGAAAGUCUCCAGAGCUUCUGUGUUCCUCUUCUUUGUGAAACUGUGGAUCAUGUAGACUGCAGACAGAAACUCCUGAACGCUCAGAUGAACGAAACAGUAAACAGUUUUCUGGAAGAUCACACUCUCUCUUCUGAAGAUCUCUGUACAAACUCCUGAGUACACCGAGGCCUCUGAGACAUCCAGACCACACCGCUCCAGGUCCUCUUGGUAGAACAUGAUGUUUCCUCUCUCCAGAUGUUCAAAGGCCAGCCUCCCCAGCUUCAGGAGAACUUCACUGUCAGCCUCAGUCAGCUCCUGAGGACUUGUCUCAUGUCCUCCUCCAUACUUCCGCUUCUUCCUCUUAGUCUGGACCAGCAGGAAGUGUGAGUACAUGUCAGUCAGGGUCUUGGGCAGCUCUCCUCUCUUCUUUCUGCUCAUCAUGUCCUCCAGAACUGUCGCAGUGAUCCAGCAGAAGACCGGGAUCUGACACAUGAUGUGGAGGCUCCUGGAGGACUUGAUGUGUGAGAUGAUUCUUCUGGACAGAUCUUUAUCUCUGAACCUCUUUCUGAAGUACUCGUCCUUCUGGGCGUCAGUGAAGCCUCGUACUUCUGUUACCCUGUCCACACAUGAAGGAGGGAUCUGAUUGGCUGCUGCAGGUCGAGAAGUUAUCCAGAUGAGAGCUGAGGGGAGCAGGUUCCCCUUGAUGAGGUUUGUUAACAGAACGUUCAGUGAAGACUUCUGUGUGACGUCAGACAGGACCUCAGAGUCUGUGAAAUCCAGAGACAGUCUGCUUUCAUCCAGACCGUCAAAGAUGAACAGAAGUUUACAGACAGCCAGCGUCUCUGCUGUGACCUUCUUCAGUGUUGGAUGGAAAACAUGGAGCAGACUCAGAAGACUGAAGCGCUCAUCUCUGAUCAGGUUCAACUCCCUGAAUGAAAGCAGGACCACCAGAUGGAGGUCUUGGUUCUCCAAACCCUCUGCCCAGUCCAGAGUGAACUUCUGCACUGAGAAGGUUUUUCCAACACCAGCCACGCCGUUGGUCAGAACCACUCUGAUGAGCUUCUCCUGUUGGUCAGGUAAGGUUUUAAAGAUCUCAUGACACCUGAUGGACGUGUCAUGGAGGGUCUUCAUCUUUGAAGCUGUCUCCAGCUGUCUCACCUCAUGUUGGGUGUUCACCUCUUCACUCAGUCCCUCUGUGAUGUAGAGCUCAGUGAAGAUCCUGUUGAGGAGGGUUUGACUACUUCCUGUUUCAUCACUUCCUUCAUUCACACGUUCACAUCUCCUCUUCAGACUGAUCUUAUGUUCAUCUAAAACCUCCUGCAGACCACCACCUUCUGAAAGAGGAGAAAAAUAAAAUGAACCAAACUUCUCAACACUGAAACGUCUUUGUGAAAAUCAGUCAGCUGAGUUUUCAUCCACACAGACUCUAGAGGACAGAUGUUCAGACUUACUUCCAUCAGAGCGGAAAUGUCUGAAAAGCUUCUUCACAAAGUCAAAUCUCUGUGUCUCUCUGUGGAAAUAAAGAACAUUUAUUUUCUUUAUCAUUUCAUGUUUGAAAGAUUCAGAGGAAGAAGCAUUUAUUAAACCAGAGUUUCUCUUUUCUCUAACAUAAAACAGUAAAAUAUUCAGCUGCUGCUGCCUCAAAGUGUGGAGACAGGAGAAAAAACUCAACUGUGAUUUUUGAAGGUCGAGAGAUUUUCUCUGACAGUUUAAAACUUUUUUAAAGGGGACCUGCCAUCAACAUUUCAUUCCCAUUUUUAUCAUUUUUUCAUAAUCCUUGAUGUCCUCUGAUCAUGUUUGCAACAUAAUUUUAGCUGAAAAGUUAUUUGAUGGUUUGUUUUAGUAUUCCUUAAAAACCUUACAGGAAAACCAACUGGUUUUGGCUCAUUAACAUUUAUGGUAAUGAGCUUUGCUCUGAUUGGAUCGCUGCUGUGAAGCCUGCUGUGCUCUGAUUGGCUCAGCAGUGGAGGUUCGGAUUUCGGUUUAUCCAUUGUUAUUAUGCUAAUGCUAAUAGCAUAUGCUAAUGUGUGCUAAAGUAAGGUGCCCAGAUGUCUGUAAUGAUAUACGGGGACAUUCGGUGCGGCGGCAGCGGCAGCAGGGGGCUGCAGGGGCUGUGUGAUCACAGACAAAGUCUCGGUACUAUUUAGUAGCAGCGCAUGCCCCUUGUAAUAACCCCGUAAGAACUGUUGUUCAGGACUGCUAACCUGUGCUUCCUACCUAUUCGGCUGCUGUAAUAACCGUUGUUCGAGCCCACACGCAACAUUUUUGCUCUCAUUCAUGAAACGCUUAAAUCGGGGACAUUUUCGGGGACAGCUUUUGCCGGGGACAGGUCAUCCAAUACGGGGACUGUCCUCGUACUGAUCAGUAGUGGGCGCGGCUCACCGAGGACGCGCUCAUGAAUAAUAAUGAGCAAAGUCAGCGUGACGUCAGAAGGACCUGCUUUUUCAAUCGGCCUGGUUUACCCGUUUCUUUAUUUUAAACUUUUACAGAAUUCAAACGACGUAAAAGUUUAUUUUCACAUUUACAACAUAAGACGAACAUAAUAUGGACCUAAUCUGACACAAAAAACACACAAAAUUACAUUUUGAUGCCAGGUCCCCUUUAACCAAUCAGAUCUAAAGGUCUAAUAACAGACAGAUGUUUGAAUGAGUUUUUAUUUCUCAGGAUUUAUUUCUUCUUUGGUCUUCUGGUAUUUUCUGACCCACAGACUGUUUUCAGGGGUCUAUACACCACAGUCCAAAGACUUACAGGCUCAAAACGUCCCAAACACAGGAACCAAAUCAGAAAAUACAAGAGGUCAGGAUCCUUUUCUAAUGCUGUUUUAUACCACCUUCAUUUUUAUCAACAUUAGAAAUAAUAAGUAAAUCUGAACUCAGUGACUUUUUCUUUACUUUCUCCAGGUUUGGAGGUUCAACAGGAAAAUCAGCGUUUAAGAUCAUUUUUCUCACCAUGGUAGAAAACAGAGGGGUCAGAAUUUAGAGCAUCAUAAAUGACUGUUUGAGAGUUUGGAGGUUAAAAAGUGUUUCUCUUACUGUGAAUCUGAGGGUCCUGGUUCUUUACUGAAGUUCAGUGGAAGAAAUAUAGACCGGUCACUCUUCAUAGACAGACAGUCAGACAUGACAGACUUUGCUCCGCCCUCCUCUGAGGGUCCUGGUUCUUUACUGAAAUCCGGUUGAUGACCUUUUGACCGGUUACUCUUCCUAGUCAGAAAGCUGAACAUGACAGACUUUGCUCUGCCCUUUUUUUUCUUUGCACCAUCACUCAUCUUCUCCAUCUGAUGUUGAGCAAAUUUAUGGAAGAUGAAACCGAGUUAUACAACCUGAGGACAAGGAAGACAAACAGAUGAGACACAAACAGAAAGAGAGUGUGAAGAUGAAGAUGAUCAAGUUUCUACAUCUCAUUAUGUCAAAGAUCUGUCUGCACACUUCCUCUUAUUUUAAAUCCUAAAGGUCCUGAUUGGUUAUUUCUUAUCCAGUCUAAUAUGAUCGAGUCAAAGAGUCUGAAAUUCACAUUUCUUUAUAAUCUUCUGUAUUAUCAAGUAUUGUUCAUGUUCAUUGAUUGUUUUAUUCUUGACUGAUUCUUCUUUUUAACCGACUACAGAAAACAAAGCUGUUUUGGACUUUAAUUUGACUCUUUACAGUCAUUUACUGUAAAAGCUGAAUGUCUCUGGUUCAAACACAGAGGAACAUAGAUUUAACGUUUUUUUUGGCUGGACUCUGAGAAUGAGGUGAUUUUUUUGAUCUGAUCCUAAAACUCAGGAAAUUCAGACUUCAUACAACACCAGAGAAAACCAUCAGUAAUAUUAACUAAACCCUAUUUGUGGUAAUAUAACACACAAACAAAAACAUGUUUAACAAACUAACAUAUAAUCCCUUUUUUUUUAAAUGUUUCCAUCCCCUCAUUUCUACCCACCAAUUUAUCGUCUCUUUAUUCUCCAAUCUCAGAAAUAUAGACUCUGGUUCAUUAUGAUCAGUCCUUCAGCAGUUAUUAAAAGUAUUAUUCAGUCAGUAGUAUUUAGUUCCUCAUCUCUUUGGGGUUUGUUUGACCUCUAAUGACUCUUGUCUUUUUCUGUAAAUGAUUCAUUUAUUGUCCUGAUCUGUUACAGUCCUGCACUGAAUCCUGUUCAUACAAAGACUUUGGACCUUGAAUAUAAACUGACAGGCUGAUAUUUCACAGUAAUGAACUUUGGACCAGCUUUAUGGUCGAACAGAAGAUAAAACAACAGCAUGAAUAUCUUUAC